This 72-nucleotide transfer RNA is filed under the name Dipodomys ordii (Ord's kangaroo rat). It matches the Rfam family "tRNA". Rfam says of the family: Transfer RNA (tRNA) molecules are approximately 80 nucleotides in length. Their secondary structure includes four short double-helical elements and three loops (D, anti-codon, and T loops). Further hydrogen bonds mediate the characteristic L-shaped molecular structure. tRNAs have two regions of fundamental functional importance: the anti-codon, which is responsible for specific mRNA codon recognition, and the 3' end, to which the tRNAs corresponding amino acid is attached (by aminoacyl-tRNA synthetases). tRNAs cope with the degeneracy of the genetic code in two manners: having more than one tRNA (with a specific anti-codon) for a particular amino acid; and 'wobble' base-pairing, i.e. permitting non-standard base-pairing at the 3rd anti-codon position. The record is from Rfam by way of RNAcentral. Lineage: Eukaryota; Metazoa; Chordata; Mammalia; Rodentia; Heteromyidae.
GGAGAUGUAGCUCAAAAGGUGAGCACCUGCCUAGUGGGCUUGGGGUUCUGAGUUCUAACCUCAGUACUUCCA